CCCAACCGCACCAACAAAAGCGAAGCGAAGGCAGCUGGCCGGCUAGGAGCAGCCCAGGACACACAAGACGAGGAGCGCAAAACCCCACUCCACCGCGGCGCUGGGGUUUUCUCCGUCUCCUCCCUCACGGCGCUUCUUUUCCUGCUGCUGCUUCUCCUCCCCACCGGACUAGCGCGAGGGAGAGAGAGAGGGGGCGACCGGGCGAGGCGAGAUCGCCCAGCCCAGGCGAGGUGAGCCAUGGAGGAGCAGGCGCCCUUCAUCUACCGCAGCUUCUCCAGCGACGGCACCAGUAGUGAGGCCGCUCUCCUCAAGGCCGCCUUCGACGGCAACCUUGACCGGAUCAAAGGUGUUAUGAAAAGUCUUGGCAUACCAAACAGCGAACGAGCAGCAGUCUUUUCUUUUACCAUGGGCGGCUUUGGAGUGCUGCACUGUGCGGCAUGCCAGGGCCAUUUGGAGGUCUGUAAGUACCUGGUGGAAGAACUAGGGGGUGAUCCGAACAUGUCUGGAGGUGAAGGUGAAGAUCAAGUUGAAGGUGUGACACCGUUUAUGGCCUCUGCUCAAUCUGGCGAUAUUUCCACUGUGAAGUAUUUAUUUGAUCAUGGUGGUGAUCUAAUGAAGCCAGACACAAAAGGACGUACAGUACUACACCAUGCCGUGUGCUCAGGAAGCUCUACAGUAACAGAGUUCCUGCUUUCAAAAGGAAUACCUGUUGACAUAGACUAUGGCUUCGGGACACCGCUUUAUCAUGCUUGUAUCAAUGAACAGGAUAAGACCGUGAAGAUUUUGUUGAACCAUCAUGCAAAUCCCAACACCAUUUCCUGUGGCAUUGGAACUCCACUGAAUGGUGCUCUUAUUUACCGCUCAUUGAAGUGCAUGAAGCUACUUAUUAAGGCCAGUAUUUUUCUUGACUCUUUCUGUUUACUACCACUGUGCUGGCUGUUCUUUUGUUUACUGAAACCAUCUGGGCCGGUUUUUCCCCGUUUUUCUAAACUCUAUUGUGCAAUCCUUUUGACAGGAAAUUCCUGUGAACUUGCAAUUGCUGCCAAAGAGUGUUUGGCGUGAAAUUGCCUCGCUGGUGCACCGGCGAGGCUUUUCAGUUGUUGUUUUGCCUUAAGGUCUCUGUCAGUUGCAUAGAUGAAACAAGGCGAACGAACCAAGCCUGGCAAGUCCAGGCAAUCGCAAUAGCUGCACGCACACCACAGGUGACAGGUGUGUGCCCAUAAAAAGCCAGCGACAGGAAGGUCCUCUCCAAUCUCCAUUGCAUUUCCAUCUGCUUUUGGCGACGAGCAUCUCCAACAGAUUACUCAUCACCCAUUCCAAUACUAAAAAAUUAAUGUUUUGGUGAUAAAGGUGCUCUAAGAGAUUAUCAAUCCAAUUCCAUUACCUAUAAAUUUUUGGUAAUCACCAAAACACAUCUCCCUCUUCCCUAAAUGUAGGGGGUUUUUCUCUACCUUAUUUUUGGUGAUUGCAUUUUGGUAAUUAUUAUCUAAAAUACAAAAAUAGUUAUUGGUAAUUGAGAGAAAAUAUGUUUUGGAUAAGGGAUAUGAGUAAUCUGUUGGAGAUGCUCUAACUACUACAAAGUACCCCUGCCAUCAUCAUCGAUUCAUCGCCCAAAAGAAAACCCAGCUGCCCAUUGGCCAGCCAUAGAUGAUAGAUGCUUAGCACUAAAAGUAUAUCACUCUCUUGAGGUGAUCGGUCACGGGUCGAGAGAAUUAAUUAAGCACGCGUCCAUAUUCCAGGGCCGCGUCAACUUCAGCGACGGCGGACAGCCCAACCGACGGCCAGGAAUGAUUCCCUCCUUUCUCUGCUCAUGUAGAUGCCGCCCGUUUCUUCUUAUCCUCAUCUCACCUAGCUACUGGCACAGAGAUGCAUGCUGAACUUAGCUCACGAUAGGAUGGUGGUUAGCACUUAGCAGAAGAGUUGAGCUGCGAGAGGCAAUUUGUUGUGCGUGGAAAUCAAAAGCAUGGGGGGAAAGGGCCCUGAAGCUUGAGCCAUUUUCAAUGUUCCCCAGACCAUACGGCAAAGGGCAGGCAGCUCCUCUCAAAAAAAUAAAAAAAGGCAGGCAGCUGCUCAGUGUUACAUCCAGUUUCUGAAUGUAUGUACUGCUAGUGUUUCGCUUAGUAGAGCUGCUGCUAACCAGCUAGAUUAGCGGCUAAACAAGUGGGUUUAGCCGCCGAUUGGCUGUUGCAGGCUGCAUUCAUCGAUCUUGGCGAAGCCACGGCUUUGUUUUGUCACCCGCAUGAAUAGACACGCCGCUGGCAGUUGGCCGUUGUUUUCUUGGCCGUAAUGCGGCCUCGUCCUUUCACUGUUGCGCUGGCAUGUUGGAUCUCCCCUCUUUCAAAGUGUCAGCAGGACGAGUACUGUGAAUUUGAAAAGUUCAUGUGACAUCGUUUCCUUGUGCCCUCAGCAUCAUGAAGGAAUUUACUGGCUACUGCUUCUUGAUCCAAAGAAAAGCAGUGCUUCCUGGUCGAUAAACGCGCCCAAUCACAACCUGGCAGUGACUUGAAGAUUCUGAACUUCCAUCCAAUUGCUGGCCAACACCGAGAGAGAGAGACGGCAACAGGGUCGGGGCUGUCCCUUUCCUGUGCUGAUAUUUCUAUUCGUUGCAGGAUACGUUCUAGUUUUCUUUUUUUUUUCUACCCUGUUGCUUUCAGAGAUUCAGCGCAAGGUUUAUAAAAAUAUCGUCACAUUUCCAAAAAAAAAAACGACGAGACUUUUCUUAGAAAGUAGCACUCAACUUAAUGAUGAUCCCAUUGUGGCCCUUUGUGGCUUGUAGGGAACGGAGAGACAAUUUUCCUUCCAAGUUACAUUUACAUAUAGUUUGUCUUCA
This is an RNA transcript of Panicum virgatum (switchgrass), 2830 nucleotides long. It is a transcript of the gene named ankyrin repeat domain-containing protein 39-like, with no coding region annotated. Lineage: Eukaryota; Viridiplantae; Streptophyta; Magnoliopsida; Poales; Poaceae. The record is from RefSeq and is a predicted model, not a curated record. The transcript has 8 exons.